UACCAGAGUACUAUGAAUAUUAAUAAUUUAAAACUCAAAGGACUUGGCGGUGUUUUAGACCACUUAGGGGAACCUGUCUCAUAAUCGAUAAUCCACGAUAUACCUGACCUUUUUUUGUUUUCAGCUUGUAUACCGUUGUCGUCAGGUAACUUUUUAGAAAUUAAGAGUUAGCAACAGAAAGUUGUAGGUAAUUCAGUACGUCAAAUCAAGGUGCAGCUAAUAAGAAGGGGAGGAUGGGUUACAGUUAUAUGAAUUAUAACGGAUAGAUGUGUGAAAUCACAUAAAUUAUAAGGUGGACUUAAAAGUAAAUUAGAAUAUAUAAAUAAUUUGAAUGAGGCUCUGAAGCGUGU
Molecule: ribosomal RNA, 350 nt
Filed under: Punctoterebra succincta
Lineage: Eukaryota; Metazoa; Mollusca; Gastropoda; Neogastropoda; Terebridae
Description: partial 12S ribosomal RNA
Source: RNAcentral